This 2136-nucleotide long non-coding RNA is filed under the name Vitis vinifera (wine grape). RNAcentral's name for it is "long non-coding RNA (VVIN_LNC001705)". The record is from RNAcentral. Lineage: Eukaryota; Viridiplantae; Streptophyta; Magnoliopsida; Vitales; Vitaceae.
AAAGAAAUCUAGGAAAUCUCCGAGCUAGAAAGUACAUUAACUUCCUCCGGAAUGUCCAUUUCUCCCACAUUCCAUAUCUCUCUUGCUUAGUCAUGCUGGGGUCAUAUGGAUUGACCACUGGAGCAAACAUGGCUGCACCUGAAAAUUUAUUAAUGGAUGGAUUAUGACUGGCAGAAUAAUGUACAACUCUUCAAUUGUUUAGGAUCUUUACUUACCCUGAAAGAAGAAGAUACAUCACUUUACUUUUCCAAAACCACUGAAAGCAAGAAUUAUAGUUUUGAAUGAAGCUUGUGUGGUUGUAAAACGUCAUAUGACUUCAAGAUAAAAGAUGUUAAUUCAUGUUAGCGAAGGCAGGGCAGGGUUCAGACUUGUAUGGUGUAAAACUGCUCCCACCCCAUGCACCCACACUACACACAUACACACCCACCAGCACAAAAAGAAAAUAGUCUUGGUAAUAUCAAGAGAAACAUUUUAUUGUAGUUGAAUUGAAUAUUCAAACUAUUGGAUGUAUGUGGUUAGAAAAAUAAAAAUAUCUAACUCUGCCGUUACACUCUAAUCAUAGCCAGAUCCAAGUGUAGUAUGUCCAUAAACAUCUUGUUUCAUGCAACUUAUUCAUAUUCUUUAUGUCCAUCACGUUACUCUUACAAAGCUUUCAACUAUUAAAAACACCUUAAGUUCCAGUAGAAGAUUCAUCCACUCCCAGCUUGAUGCUAGAUAGAACCUUAAAUGUUUCAAUAGUAGCUAGUAAGAGGGCCAUCUGUACCCUAAAUCAAAAAGCUAAAAUCAUUAUCAUUCUUUUGGUAGUCAUUUCUUGACAGGAAAUACAAUCUUUCAGUUGACAUCUUCAAACUUCACUUUAAAUAUAAACAACCGCAACUAAAAUUUUCCCAAGGAAAUAUUUUCCAAAUUAUGUCAUUUUUAAGAUGAGGAAGUUUUCUUUUAGGGAAAUCAGGUGAAAGUUGAUCAAACCAAUGUAUAAUUAUAGCUGAUACGUCUGCAGAUGUGUCAUAACAAAUGAUAUUCUUUCAAGCACACGCAAACUGUUUAAUUUCCGUGCCUUCAGAACUUCAAGCUCCAAAGACUACAUUUUCCUUAAACCUCAUAGCAUCUGUGGCAAUUAUAUUUUCUGAAUGAGAGGUACAGAUACAUGCAAAGUUACUAUUUCCAGUGACCAAGAAAAUACAUAAUCAAUAUGCUUUUAGAGAAAAGAAACAUGAGUUCAACUCAUAUAAAGAGAAAGAGGUUAUUUCCUACUCAGGUUUGUUGUCUAGCGCAGAAAAUACUAAGUAACUAAUGAUGAAAAUCCAUAAAUGACAUGAAAAUAAAAAAUUCAGAAUAGAGGAAUGAAGAUGCAGAGACAAUUGAGAAACAAACACGCUAAAGACAAAUUUACCUGCAAGUCUAUCAGGAAUGUAUCUGAGAGCAGCCCAAGCAUGCAUGCUUCCGCCUGAAUGCCCCACCACCCAGAACUUGCCAUUAACACCCAAAGCAUUUGCUAAGUAUAACAUGUCCAGAGCUGAUGACUCAAGGUUUCUAUUGGGAUGAGGAUCACUCUCCCCAAAACCUGGAAGGUCAUAUGUGACCAGGCGAAUGCCAAACUCUUCUAGCAAGGGAGCUUUAACUCCAGGUAUUCCUAUUGAACAACAUAAUAUGGCAAAAGAAUAGUUAAUGGUGUAUCAAAUGUCAAAAGGAACAAAUAAAAAUCUUUGGACAAAUCACUUCAGCAAACAUGGUGACCAGGCGAAUGCCAAACUCUUCUAGCAAGGGAGCUUUAACUCCAGGUAUUCCUAUUGAACAAUAUAAUAUGGCAAAAGAAUAGUUAAUGGUGUAUCAAAUGUCAAAAGAAACAAAUAAAAAUCCUUGGACAAAUCACUUCAGCAAACAUGGUAAACACUAAAACCUGAUUGAGUCCAAAGGAAGAGGAAAGGAAAGAAAAGGAAAAUGCUGCAAAUCACUUAGAUAUGGCUUCCUUUCUCAAGCUAUUUUAAGAAUUUCCCUGUUCUUCCCCCCAUAAUUUUUGAAAGCCAAAUAGAACCUAAGAUUAUUCUACCUGAAAGUCGAGAGGAGAGAAAAGAAUGAGGAGCCAUCAUCGAAUAUCUAGCUCUUUCAGCUAGAACACCUUGUUCUUGAUAUGCC